This 581-nucleotide ribosomal RNA is filed under the name uncultured bacterium. RNAcentral's name for it is "partial 16S ribosomal RNA". It matches the Rfam family "Bacterial small subunit ribosomal RNA", at positions 355 to 1375 of the family's 1533-position model. The record is from RNAcentral.
UGAGGAAUAUUGGUCAAUGGGCGAGAGCCUGAACCAGCCAAAUCGCGUGAAGGAAGACUGCCUUAUGGGUUGUAAACUUCUUUUAUACAGGAAUAAAAAAGGGGACGUGUCCCUUAUUGCAUGUACUGUAUGAAUAAGCAUCGGCUAACUCCGUGCCAGCAGCCGCGGUAAUACGGAGGAUGCGAGCGUUAUCCGGAUUUAUUGGGUUUAAAGGGUGCGCAGGCGGGCUUUUAAGUCAGCGGUGAAAUCUCGGGGCUUAACUCCGAAACUGCCGUUGAAACUGGGAGUCUUGAGUAUGGAUGAAGUAGGCGGAAUUCGUUGUGUAGCGGUGACAUGCUUAGAUAUAACGAGGAACUCCGAUUGCGUAGGGCAGCUUACUAAGCCAUAACUGACGCUCAAGCACGAAAGCGUGGGGAUCAAAACAGGAUUAGAUACCCUGGUAGUCCACGCCGUAAAACGAUGAUUACUAGUUGUAUGCGAUAUACCGUAUGUGACUAAGCGAAAGCGAUAAGUAAUCCACCUGGGGAGUACGCCGGCAACGGUGAAACUUAAAGGAAUUGACGGGGUCAUAGCUGUUUCCU